RNAcentral lists this ribosomal RNA (253 nucleotides) under uncultured bacterium. RNAcentral's name for it is "partial 16S ribosomal RNA". It matches the Rfam family "Bacterial small subunit ribosomal RNA", at positions 524 to 776 of the family's 1533-position model. The record is from RNAcentral.
UACAGAGGGUGCAAGCGUUAAUCGGAAUUACUGGGCGUAAAGCGCGCGUAGGUGGCCAUUUAAGUCAAAUGUGAAAUCCCCGAGCUUAACUUGGGAAUUGCAUUCGAUACUGGAUGGCUAGAGUAUAGGAGAGGAAGGUAGAAUUCCAGGUGUAGCGGUGAAAUGCGUAGAGAUCUGGAGGAAUACCGAUGGCGAAGGCAGCCUUCUGGCCUAAUACUGACACUGAGGUGCGAAAGCAUGGGGAGCAAACAGG